RNAcentral lists this ribosomal RNA (1362 nucleotides) under uncultured bacterium. RNAcentral's name for it is "bacterial SSU rRNA". It matches the Rfam family "Bacterial small subunit ribosomal RNA", at positions 28 to 1381 of the family's 1533-position model. The record is from RNAcentral.
AUUGAACGCUGGCGGCAUGCUUUACACAUGCAAGUCGGACGGCAGCACAGAGAAGCUUGCUUCUUGGGUGGCGAGUGGCGAACGGGUGAGUAACAUAUCGGAACGUACCGAGCAGUGGGGGAUAACUAAUCGAAAGAUUAGCUAAUACCGCAUAUUUUCUGAGGAAGAAAGCAGGGGACCAUUUGGCCUUGCGCUGUUUGAGCGGCCGAUAUCUGAUUAGCUAGUUGGUGGGGUAAAGGCCUACCAAGGCGACGAUCAGUAGCGGGUCUGAGAGGAUGAUCCGCCACACUGGGACUGAGACACGGCCCAGACUCCUACGGGAGGCAGCAGUGGGGAAUUUUGGACAAUGGGCGCAAGCCUGAUCCAGCCAUGCCGCGUGUCUGAAGAAGGCCUUCGGGUUGUAAAGGACUUUUGUCAGGGAAGAAAAGGGCGGGGUUAAUACCCCUGUCUGAUGACGGUACCUGAAGAAUAAGCACCGGCUAACUACGUGCCAGCAGCCGCGGUAAUACGUAGGGUGCGAGCGUUAAUCGGAAUUACUGGGCGUAAAGCGGGCGCAGACGGUUACUUAAGCAGGAUGUGAAAUCCCCGGGCUCAACCUGGGAACUGCGUUCUGAACUGGGUGGCUAGAGUGUGUCAGAGGGAGGUAGAAUUCCACGUGUAGCAGUGAAAUGCGUAGAGAUGUGGAGGAAUACCGAUGGCGAAGGCAGCCUCCUGGGAUAACACUGACGUUCAUGCCCGAAAGCGUGGGUAGCAAACAGGAUUAGAUACCCUGGUAGUCCACGCCCUAAACGAUGUCGAUCAGCUGUUGGGCAGCAUGACUGCUUAGUAGCGAAGCUAACGCGUGAAAUCGACCGCCUGGGGAGUACGGUCGCAAGAUUAAAACUCAAAGGAAUUGACGGGGACCCGCACAAGCGGUGGAUGAUGUGGAUUAAUUCGAUGCAACGCGAAGAACCUUAUCUGGUCUUGACAUGUACGGAACCCUCCAGAGACGGAGGGGUGCCUUCGGGAGCCGUAACACAGGUGCUGCAUGGCUGUCGUCAGCUCGUGUCGUGAGAUGUUGGGUUAAGUCCCGCAACGAGCGCAACCCUUGUCAUUAGUUGCCAUCAUUAAGUUGGGCACUCUAAUGAGACUGCCGGUGACAAGCCGGAGGAAGGUGGGGAUGACGUCAAGUCCUCAUGGCCCUUAUGACCAGGGCUUCACACGUCAUACAAUGGUCGGUACAGAGGGUAGCCAAGCCGCGAGGUGGAGCCAAUCUCACAAAACCGAUCGUAGUCCGGAUUGCACUCUGCAACUCGAGUGCAUGAAGUCGGAAUCGCUAGUAAUCGCAGGUCAGCAUACUGCGGUGAAUACGUUCCCGGGUCU